AACGAACGCUGGCGGCAGGCUUAACACAUGCAAGUCGAACGCAUCCUUCGGGGUGAGUGGCAGACGGGUGAGUAACACGUGGGAACGUACCUUUCGGUUCGGGAUAACCCAGGGAAACUUGGGCUAAUACCGGAUACGUCUUCGGGGAGAAAGAUUGAUUGCCGAGAGAUCGGCCCGCGUCUGAUUAGCUAGUUGGUGGGGUAAUGGCCCACCAAGGCGACGAUCAGUAGCUGGUCUGAGAGGAUGAUCAGCCACACUGGGACUGAGACACGGCCCAGACUCCUACGGGAGGCAGCAGUGGGGAAUAUUGGACAAUGGGCGCAAGCCUGAUCCAGCCAUGCCGCGUGAGUGAUGAAGGCCUU
RNAcentral lists this ribosomal RNA (362 nucleotides) under uncultured bacterium. RNAcentral describes it as "bacterial SSU rRNA". It matches the Rfam family "Bacterial small subunit ribosomal RNA", at positions 29 to 418 of the family's 1533-position model. The record is from RNAcentral.